GACGAACGCUGGCGGCGUGCUUAGCACAUGCAAGUCGAACGGAAAGGCCCCUUCGGGGGUACUCGAGUGGCGAACAGGUGAGUAACACGUGAGUAACCUGCCCUUGACUUCGGGAUAACUUCAGGAAACUGGGGCUAAUACCGGAUAGGAAUCCUUGCUGCAUGGUGGGGGUUGGAAAGCUUCGGCGGUUUUGGAUGGACUCGCGGCUUAUCAGCUUGUUGGUGGGGUAGUGGCUUACCAAGGCUUUGACGGGUAGCCGGCCUGAGAGGGCGACCGGCCACAUUGGGAAUGAGAUACGGCCCAGACUCCUACGGGAGGCAACAGUGGGGAAUAUUGCACAAUGGGCGGAAGCCUGAUGCAGCAACGCCGCGUGCGGGAUGACGGCCUUCGGGUUGUAAACCGCUUUCAGCAGGGGCGAAGCUUGUGGUGACGGUACCUGCAGAAGAAGCACCGGCUAACUACGUG
Molecule: ribosomal RNA, 465 nt
Filed under: uncultured bacterium
Lineage: Bacteria
Description: partial 16S ribosomal RNA
Rfam family: Bacterial small subunit ribosomal RNA
Source: RNAcentral